Hylaeus volcanicus is the source of this 2366-nucleotide RNA transcript. RefSeq lists it as uncharacterized. Lineage: Eukaryota; Metazoa; Arthropoda; Insecta; Hymenoptera; Colletidae. The transcript has 10 exons. The record is from RefSeq and is a predicted model, not a curated record.
UAGUUCGUAGCAUCCUAACUAAAGUAUUCUUACGCCUUCCACAAACACACCUUCAUAACUCAUUUCUUUCAAAUAAAAAAAGAAAACUCCAGCACUCCAUUCACUUUCUAAUUUUCACACUCCAAUUGGACAACUAGCCUUACAGUUGUAUUUGAUAUGUUUUCUAAAUGGGUAACAAUCAAAAAUAAAUAAUCACAUAGUACUCCUUAGCCCUAAGGAUCAUUACUUUUUUUACUAACAUACCUACAAUUAAUUAAUUUUUUUCAUUUCGUUAGACUAAUGCAGUAGUGUAACCCCCAAGUUACAAUAACAGGCAGCUUUUUAAAUCUUAUACUUUGCCUUUAUAUUUUCUUCUUAAAGGAAGUACGUUCCAAACAAAGAGACUUGCAAUAGUCAAUAAACCGUUACAUUAUAAGGCAUCCUUUCGGAGCUCAUGGAUCGGGAUAAUAGCCUAUCUCUCACAAGAAAACACUGAAUAAGACGGCGAGUUUCCUUCCUACCUAAGCAACGCAUCAGAAAGAUUCAGUCGCCACAAUCCAUAAACCAAUUGAACCUAAACGCCAUACGUCAUGUCUGGCAACGGUGACAAUAAUCAUGUUCAAAAGUCACCCGAGCGCAAAACAGUUAUCUAGUUUUUAUAACAACACAAAAAAUGUUAGUGUACUUGGCAGCACCAAGCUUGAAAAUGACGCAGUCAUUUAUCAAAACAUUAGUGCAACGUUAAGCUUAUUGCAUUAGAAAACAAAAUCGCUAAACAAGACUAAACGCGUCAUUUAGGUUUUCAAGAUGAGUGUUCAGUUUCUAACUUGACCAAAUAGAUCAAAAAAAUAUUGAUGAGGUAUCUUGACGUUUCAAUAAAAUAAAUCAAUUGUUUCAUGUUCAUGUUUUUGGGAUUACAACCGCACCAGCAGGAUAACAAGUCAUGUGGUACCCAGUUUCGACUCAUCCUAAUAGCUCCUUGACCCUAUUAAAAACGACACCAUUUUUUUAAAAAUGGUGUUUUUAAAAGAAGAAAAGGGUUUCGAAAAUCAAAAAGAAAAAAUAUGUUCUAUCAAGUGUACUCCCAGUUGUAGGCGGAUAAGAAGAAUUACGUGCUAAUUUAUUUCAAUUUUCUUUUAGUGUCUUACAAAUACUCAACACUCUAUAAGCUGUAUGAAACAAAACAUUUUGCUUCAGAAGAUAAUUUAAAGCUAACGACAGAAUUAAUCGACGCUAAUGAAAGCAACUACACGGUGUGGCGUAUCCGUCGUCAAUGCUUAUUAUCUUGGAUGCAUUCAUUAGAAACAAAAGAAAAAAAUAAUUUUCUUUUAAAAGAAUUAGACUUUAUCAUCUAUUAUUGCAAUCAAAGUGCUAAAUGUUAUCAAGUAUGGUAUCAUCGGCGUUGGAUCAUGCAACAAAUGAAUGAUGUACAACUUCUUUAGAAAAAAAAAGAAUUGAGUUUAAUUUAGAAGAAGAUCAAAAAAAUUUUAAUUUAUGGCAGUACCGAACAUUUUUACAAGACUUUAUUUAUUCAAACAAAUCAUGUAAUUCAGCCUCUUGUGAUAACUUAUUUUUUACCAAUCCAUUGAAAAUGUUAAAAAAACGUUGCAACUGCUGGUUAAAAGAAGAAAAAAAAUUUUCUGAAUUUAUGAUUGCCUUAGAUCAUCGAAAUAAUUCAGCAUGGAAUUUAAGAGUUGUGGCUGUCAAAAAUCAUGCUAAAGCUUUAUUACAAAUGAAUUUGUUCGACAAGGCAACAAAUGAAUUACGCGAUGACAUUUUAUAUUGCAUACAAUGUAUAAAAAGAACACCUCAUAAUGAACCGAGCUGGAAUGCAUUGUGCAGUUAUUUCUUUAAAGAAGAUCAAUUGCUUCUCGCUACAACGACUACAUGUUCUUGUCAAAACAUAUCUACAUGCAUUCUCUGUGAUCGUGCCCGUUUCAAGUGGACUGAUUCAAAAAUUCAAACUAUGAUCACUUCUUUAAUCGACCAAGUACUAAAGCAAGAUAGUACUAAUCGUUUUUGUCUCUAUGUACAUUAUUUAUACUGUCUUUCACUUGAUGAUUAUUCCAAAUGUUAUCAAAUUUUAGAUAAACUAUCGACAGUUGACCAACAACGUGUCACAUUUUGGAAUAUUAAAAAAACCAUGUUUUCCAAAUAUGUUUUGAGUGAGGAGUCCGACAAAGUUUUUCUUUAAGUAUUUUUUUAAUCCACAUUUCGUAUUAUAAAAAAAAACUUUUCAUUUUUCUUUUUACAAAAACAAUCACACGUUUGUAAAAGGAUAUUUUUUAAAAAACAUGUCUCCACGCUUCUGUUUUUCUUCAUGGCAUGAAAAGAAUCAUUCUGUACGCAAUGUAUAAAUUGACGUAAUUUAUUAACUAGUGUGUUGU